UACAGGGGGUGCAAACGUUGCUCGGAAUCAUUGGGCGUAAAGCGCACGUAGGCGGUUCGUUAUGUCGGAUGUGAAAGCCCUUGGCUUAACCGAGGAAGUGCAUCCGAAACUGGCGAGCUAGAGUACGAAAGAGGAUCGCGGAAUUCCCGGUGUAGAGGUGAAAUGCGCAGAUAUCGGGAAGAACACCCGUGGCGAAGGCGGCUCUCUGGGACGGUACUGACGCUGAGACGCGAAAGCGUGGGGAGCGAACAGG
RNAcentral lists this ribosomal RNA (253 nucleotides) under uncultured bacterium. Its description in RNAcentral is "partial 16S ribosomal RNA". It matches the Rfam family "Bacterial small subunit ribosomal RNA", at positions 524 to 776 of the family's 1533-position model. The record is from RNAcentral.